This 644-nucleotide ribosomal RNA is filed under the name uncultured bacterium. Its description in RNAcentral is "bacterial SSU rRNA". It matches the Rfam family "Bacterial small subunit ribosomal RNA", at positions 730 to 1371 of the family's 1533-position model. The record is from RNAcentral.
UGGAACAUUACUGACGCUAAGGCGUGAAAGCGUGGGGAGCAAACGGGAUUAGAUACCCCGGUAGUCCACGCCCUAAACGAUGUUCACUAGUCGUCGGGAUGCUAGUCAUCUCGGUGAUGCACUUAACAGAUUAAGUGAACCGCCUGGGGAGUACGGUCGCAAGAUUAAAACUCAAAGGAAUAGACGGGGACCCGCACAAGUGGUGGAGCAUGUGGUUUAAUUCGAAGAUACGCGAAGAACCUUACCUAGCCUUGACAUUGAUAGAAUACACCAGAGAUGGAGUAGUGCCUUUCGGGGAACUUGAAAACAGGUGCUGCACGGCUGUCGUCAGCUCGUGUCGUGAGAUGUUGGGUUAAGUCCCGCAACGAGCGCAACCCUCGUCCUUAGUUGCCAGCAGGUUAAGCUGGGCACUCUAAGGAGACUGCCUUCGUAAGGAGGAGGAAGGUGAGGACGACGUCAAGUCAUCAUGGCCCUUAUGGCUAGGGCUACACACGUGCUACAAUGGGGCGUACAGAGUGUUGCGAUACCGCGAGGUGGAGCUAAUCACUUAAAGCGUCUCUCAGUUCGGAUAGCAGUCUGCAACUCGACUGCUUGAAGCUGGAAUCACUAGUAAUCGUAGAUCAGCAAUGCUACGGUGAAUACGU